Molecule: long non-coding RNA, 109 nt
Organism: Ipomoea nil (Japanese morning glory)
Lineage: Eukaryota; Viridiplantae; Streptophyta; Magnoliopsida; Solanales; Convolvulaceae
Exons: 3
Source: RefSeq, a predicted model, not a curated record
UCCAUAAUCACUGCUAUCAUGAAGAACAGUAAGACCAAACCCAGGAAGAAAUCUCACAUUGUUGUUCUUGGACACAGUUCUACCAAUUGGUUGAAGAUGGAACGAACAA